This 305-nucleotide ribosomal RNA is filed under the name uncultured bacterium. RNAcentral describes it as "bacterial SSU rRNA". It matches the Rfam family "Bacterial small subunit ribosomal RNA", at positions 337 to 639 of the family's 1533-position model. The record is from RNAcentral.
UCCCUACGGGACGCAGCAGUGAGAAAUAUUGGUCAAUGGUCGGGAGACUGAACCAGCCAAGCCGCGUGAGGGAGGAAGGUACAGAGUAUCGUAAACCUCUUUUGUCAGGGAACAAAGGCGGGGACGUGUCCCCGGAUGAGUGUACCUGAAGAAAAAGCAUCGGCUAGCUCCGUGCCAGCAGCCGCGGUAAUACGGAGGAUGCGAGCGUUAUCCGGAUUUAUUGGGUUUAAAGGGUGCGCAGGCGGUCUGUUAAGUCAGCGGUCAAAGCCCGGGGCUCAACCCCGUCCCUCCGUUGAAACUGCAAG